Galeopterus variegatus (Sunda flying lemur) is the source of this 537-nucleotide long non-coding RNA. RefSeq lists it as uncharacterized. NCBI's taxonomy places the organism in Eukaryota, Metazoa, Chordata, Mammalia, Dermoptera, Cynocephalidae. The record is from RefSeq and is a predicted model, not a curated record. The transcript is spliced from 2 exons.
AAUCAAAGAAUACAUGGGAGCUCCUGUCACUCAAGAUCCAAAGACGCAAGGUGACCUUGAUUUAUACUGUUCUCUUGAUUAUAUACUGUUCUCUUGACUUAUACUGUUCAGGCUCCAGAGAAAAGGCAUUUCCACAUCUCUGUUUCCUUGAAAUAAAACUCUUCUGAGUCUAAUACUUUGAAGAUUUGUGGGAAACCGGCACUGCUGAAUUGAAAAUUCAGGGAUGAUAUGAGUUGCAGAAGCUCUUAGGGUCUUGGCAGAUAUGAUUAAGUUAAGGAUUUUAAAAUGAGCACAUAAUUCUGGAUGGGCUCAAAAUGCACAAGAGGGAGAUUAUACACACACAGGAGAAGAAUGUGUGACAAUGGAGGCAGAAAUCGGAGUGAUGCAGCCACAAGCCAGGAAAUGGUGGCAGCCCCCAGGAGUUGGAAGAGGCAAGGAACAGAUUCUCCCCCAGCCUUCAGAUGGUGUGUAGCCCUACCCCCACCUUGAUUUGGGACUUUUGUGAGAGAAUAAAUUUCUGUUAUUGUAAGCCACCAA